CAAGUUUCCUAACGUUUUUGAUGGUAAAUAAAAACAAUAAACAUUCGAUCCAAAUACUCGCCGAUUGUUUGGACCGAUUGCAUUGAAUCGAACAUUCACUUCACCGUGUAGCAGCACAUUCGUCACAACAUUUGUCAAUUCAUAGAGUCAAAUGUUUGAGUCCAACAUUCGAGUAAAACGUUGGACGAAUCGUGUAGCCCGCAUAACAUUCCAAGAGAUCUGCACCGUGUGCUGUUUUCUUCGAUUUAUUCAGAUGAAUCUGAAUCUCAAAUCUUAUUCGAUGCUGUGUUUGAGGAUAAACAUUCCACAUCCUUAGCUGAUUAUUUGAGUUUGAAAUCGUUUCACCUUUAGCCCUAGAACGCGCCUGUGGGGCAAAUAAAGCAACGCUAAUCUUAUAAGUCAUUUUUCAAGGAAUACAUCAACCGUGUUCAGUAUACAAACUCAGGCAAGGAUGGUCCGUUUGUCGCCCGGUUGUCUUCAGAUUCUCCUGCAUCCAGCACAGAGAAGGACGAACGAACAGAUAAGAUGUCAACGAGAAGUUCUUUGUUUUAAUUUUCUUGUCACGAGAAAGUUGCACGGGAGGAAAUUUCGCGCACUUUACCAUUGUACGAAUGUGUGACAGAACAAGGAAGCAAAUCGGAUCUAUACGCGGGACCUAAGGGUCCUGCAGAAGUAACAGUAGUGGUGAUAGUGGAGAGGAAAAUUGUCACAAGUUGGUCAUAUUGCUGGCGGACACGGAAGAAUAAACUUCUUCUGAAACAUCACCACAAUGGGGACGAUUUCUGCGAUGGGAUGAAUUGGACGAUAAUUCAAUUUAGACUAUGUGGAUUCAGUUGUAUUGGUUGGGUAAUUAACGAUUGGAAGUGAAUUAAUUUGUAGAAUAACAAACGAUGAAAAGCUAGUUUGUUCGAGAAUAAAUUGUGUUAUUCCUCACUCUUCAU
This is a long non-coding RNA of Toxorhynchites rutilus septentrionalis, 941 nucleotides long. RefSeq lists it as uncharacterized. Lineage: Eukaryota; Metazoa; Arthropoda; Insecta; Diptera; Culicidae. The record is from RefSeq and is a predicted model, not a curated record. The transcript is spliced from 3 exons.